UGAACGCUGGCGGCGUGCCUAAUACAUGCAAGUCGAGCGAACAGACGAGGAGCUUGCUCCUCUGACGUUAGCGGCGGACGGGUGAGUAACACGUGGAUAACCUACCUAUAAGACUGGGAUAACUUCGGGAAACCGGAGCUAAUACCGGAUAAUAUAUUGAACCGCAUGGUUCAAUAGUGAAAGACGGUUUUGCUGUCACUUAUAGAUGGAUCCGCGCCGCAUUAGCUAGUUGGUAAGGUAACGGCUUACCAAGGCAACGAUGCGUAGCCGACCUGAGAGGGUGAUCGGCCACACUGGAACUGAGACACGGUCCAGACUCCUACGGGAGGCAGCAGUAGGGAAUCUUCCGCAAUGGGCGAAAGCCUGGCGGAGCAACGCCGCGUGAGUGAUGAAGGUCUUCGGAUCGUAAAACUCUGUUAUUAGGGAAGAACAAAUGUGUAAGUAACUAUGCACGUCUUGACGGUACCUAAUCAGAAAGCCACGGCUAACUACGUG
This 495-nucleotide ribosomal RNA is filed under the name uncultured bacterium. RNAcentral describes it as "partial 16S ribosomal RNA". It matches the Rfam family "Bacterial small subunit ribosomal RNA", at positions 30 to 507 of the family's 1533-position model. The record is from RNAcentral.